CUUGAACUCCUUCCCCCAGAGGGGUUGCUGUCUUGGCAGGAAGCUUCCCCAUUAAACACAAAAGAAAGAAAAAACUAAAGACCUACAAACAAACUGGCAUCACCCACAGCCCGGCAUCACGCACAGCCCGGCAUCACGCACAGCCCGGCAUCACACACAAACCCGGCAUCACACACAAACCCGGCAUCACACACAGCCCCGGCAUCACACACAGCCCCGGCAUCACCCGCAGCCCGGCAUCACACACAAACCCGGCAUCACGCACAGCCCGGCAUCACCCGCAGCCCGGCAUCACACACAAACCCGACAUCACACACAAACCUGGCAUCACCCGCAGCCCGGCAUCACCCACAAACUCGGCAUCACCCACAAACCCGGCAUCACGCACAGCCCGGCAUCACGCACAGCCCGGCAUCACGCACAGCCCGGCAUCACGCACAGCCCAGCAUCACGCACAGCCCCUCCAGGCUGCCACUGAACUGCAGCCGCCGCCUGAACGUCCUGUAUUGUCUCCUAAGGAGCUGCCAUCAGGGGACUCCAUCAAGGAGCCAGCCAUCUACAUAUUUUCCAACUAAGGGGCCAAAUGGCCCUCCCUCAAAUCCAGUGACACUGGCCCGGCUGGUGGCCUCUCAUCUUGCUGAAAAGACUGUCACCGUUUCCCCUAAUCCUGAUUUAAUGGGCGGCCUUGCGGGGGCUGUACUUGCCCCUCCCCGGCGUGGGUCCCACACUUUCUUAUCGUCCACCUUCAUGUGGUGGAAAUCCUGUUCCGGAGACCCAUGGCUUCUCUCAUAAGAAGCGCUCUCCAGGCCGGGCGCGGUGGCUCAUGCCUGUAAUACCAGCACUUUGGAAGGCCGAGGUGGGCGGAUCACCUGAGGUUGGGAGUUCGAGACCAGCCUGACCAACAUGGUGAAACCCUGUCUCUACUAAAAAUACAAAAAAUUAGCCAGGCGUGGUGGCGGGCACCUAUAAUCCCAGCUACUCGGGAGGCUGAGGCGGGAGAAUAGCUUGAACCCAGGAGGCGGAGGUUGCAGUGAGCUGAGAUCAUGCCAGUGCCCUCCAGCCUGGGCAACGAGAGCAAAACUCCAUUUCAAAAAUAAAAAUAAUAAUAAAAUAAAAUAAAGAAGCAGUCUCUCAAGGGUUAUCAGUAGCUUCUGAACUGAUUUGGGGAGAAAUGGAGCAAUCAAGUUAUCUGUUCAGCUGACUGAUUCUGAAACCUGAAACUUCAGUUAUGAGUGAUUUGUUCCCAGGGCCCCUGUGGGAAGGCCGCCGCGCCCUUGGUCGGGAAAGCAAAGCUCACCACCACCAGGCCACAGGCUGUUCCGUUAGGGAAGGCAGUGCCAAAGUUUGCCCUGGACUGCCUUGUUCCAGAUAGGGCCAACAGCAGCUCACUGGCCCCUCUGGGCCUCAGUUUCCCCAUCUGCUAAGUGAAGGGGCUGGAGCAGGUGAGGUAUUUCAGGGCCCUUGUCCCUCGCACCUCUGAUAUUCAGUGGCUCAAGCAUAAGGCAGGACUAGAGACAGUGGCCCAGACCCUGCUGGUGGCCUCCCCCAUACGGUUCUUCCUAGCAGUCAAAGCCUGAGUCAAAGGCUGCUGGUCAAGGCAGAGUUUACUGAACUGUUAGUUUCCUCCUGCACACACCGGGCAUGACACCUUCAAGUCUGUCCAGCAGUGGGUCCAGAAAGUACCCUGUGUGCCUUGGACGCAGAGGCUACAGUUCUCACUGUGUGGCAUGGGAGCCUUCACAGUGCCCUCGGGAGCUGCGCCUGGUCUUUGUCUGCAAAGGUGACUGGGAGGAUAGAAAAGCAGCGGGCUGGCAUUGUUUCGGGGGUGGGGUGGUGGGCAGUGUGCCUUGGCAGUCC
This 1857-nucleotide long non-coding RNA is filed under the name Pan troglodytes (chimpanzee). Its description in RNAcentral is "long non-coding RNA NONPTRT002389". The record is from RNAcentral. Lineage: Eukaryota; Metazoa; Chordata; Mammalia; Primates; Hominidae.